CUAAGGAAUUCUUGGACUUUCUUAGAUAAACUGCCUAACUCCGGAACAAGUAUCGGUCCUAAAUGCUCCUCUUACACUCGAAGAAAUACUUGAUGCGAUUAGGCAACUUCAGAAUG
Non-coding RNA from Chiloscyllium plagiosum (whitespotted bambooshark), 116 nucleotides. The record is from RefSeq and is a predicted model, not a curated record. Lineage: Eukaryota; Metazoa; Chordata; Chondrichthyes; Orectolobiformes; Hemiscylliidae.